CUCGUAGGUGGUUUGUCGCGUUGUCCGUGAAAUUCCCUGGCUUAACUGGGGGCGUGCGGGCGAUACGGGCAGACUAGAGUACUGCAGGGGAGACUGGAAUUCCUGGUGUAGCGGUGGAAUGCGCAGAUAUCAGGAGGAACACCGGUGGCGAAGGCGGGUCUCUGGGCAGUAACUGACGCUGAGGAGCGAAAGCGUGGGGAGCGAACA
Molecule: ribosomal RNA, 207 nt
Filed under: uncultured bacterium
Lineage: Bacteria
Description: partial 16S ribosomal RNA
Rfam family: Bacterial small subunit ribosomal RNA
Source: RNAcentral